RNAcentral lists this ribosomal RNA (253 nucleotides) under uncultured bacterium. Its description in RNAcentral is "partial 16S ribosomal RNA". It matches the Rfam family "Bacterial small subunit ribosomal RNA", at positions 524 to 776 of the family's 1533-position model. The record is from RNAcentral.
UACAUGGGGUGCAAACGUUGCUCGGAAUUAUUGGGCGUAAAGCGCGCGUAGGCGGUUACUUAAGUCGGAUGUGAAAGCCCCCGGCUCAACUGGGGAGGGUCAUUCGAUACUGAUCGACUUGAAGGCAGGAGAGGGUAGUGGAAUUCCCGGUGUAGUGGUGAAAUGCGUAGAUAUCGGGAGGAACACCAGUGGCGAAGGCGACUACCUGGCCUGUUCUUGACGCUGAGGCGCGAAAGCUGGGGGAGCAAACGGG